Long non-coding RNA from Anthonomus grandis grandis, 7098 nucleotides. RefSeq lists it as uncharacterized. Lineage: Eukaryota; Metazoa; Arthropoda; Insecta; Coleoptera; Curculionidae. The transcript is spliced from 2 exons. The record is from RefSeq and is a predicted model, not a curated record.
UUAAUUAAAUAAAAUGGAGUUUUUGUUUAAUUUUUACUUUUAUCAUUGGGAGAGACAUAAGAUAACUCUUUGCAUUUAUGUCUUCAAAUAGAGUGAAAUUGGGACAUACCAUGCAUGAUGGGUUAUUCUGAUUUUAUAUUAUCAUAUGGUUCAUAUAUUACAGAUAAUUGAGUUUAAAAUAUUUAACAAUAAGUUCUUUAUGUAAAUCCUAAUAAUCUUUUAUUUAGCUUGCAGUAAACUUUUUGUUCCCAUUCUAAAAUAUAUUAAAAAACCUAUAAAGGGGGAGAGAAAACUUUAUUUAUUCUCUAUAUUAAGUAUGGAUUAAAUAUAAAACCUUUAAAAUUGAUUAACACCUUAAAUCUGCACUCAAAAUCAAACUUUCAAAUACAAUAAUAAUUAAAAGUUUAGCUACCACCAUUGACUUUUACCCCUCUUUAAAUUUCUGUAGUACUUAAAAUCAUACUUAGAGAAAAAAAUGUAUUAAAAUAUUGAGAAUAAAUAUUUAUCCUAAAAAAGUAAUAUUUUAUUAGUUUUGAUCAUUAUGCCAUAAUUCUUGACCAUUUAAAUGUUAGUUUUAACUGGAAAAUCUAUCUACAUAAUAAUAGAGGAUAGCAAUGCAUUUUAGUGAUUUAAAAAAAACCCUAUAUUAAAAAAACUGAUCCCAUAUCUGGAAGUGACAUUUUUCAAAAAUCUUUAUAAGGCUAUAAGCAAAAUUGGUACUCAAGAACUAACUUUAUAAUACAUUAUAGGAGAUAAAUUUAUUAGAGGUGAAUUAAAAGUAAGAAAAUAUAAUAUUUUACUUCUCAGAUUAAAAUAAAAAUAUUUUAAAAUGUUACAAUACUCAGCUAUAGAAAAAUAGCCAAACUGUGAUUCUCAGCCACCUGGCUGGAAAUUAAAAUGAGAUAAUAUUGUAAAUGAAUUCAGAUACAUUUACAAUAUGAUCUCAUUCAGAUACAUUUGUUGUGAUUUUUUAAAAUCAUUUUGUAAAGUAGCAUUUUUCGAUUAGGCUAUAUUAUACAGGAGUAAAACAAACUGUUGUUUUUUCUCAUAAUUUCAAAAGACCCUGUAGGAAAAUUAAGGUGGAUAAUUCUGUUUACAUACUGUUCCUUGUAUUCUUUGAUGUAUUCUAAUUAUUUUGAUUUUUGAUUCAUUCCAUUAUCUCAUUUCUGCUGCGAGGUGCAAAUUGUUUAUUAAAAUGCUGAUUUGAAGCGUAUUUUUAUUAAGAGAAACCAACACUAGGUAUAUCAUAAAGUUAAGUAAAAAAAAACAAUUUUAAUAGCGUCUAUUUCCUCUUCUCGCAGCAAUAACAGCUUGCAGUCUUCGCGGCAUCGAAUGAAUAAGGUUCCUUAUUCUUUCUUGAGGAAUAGCUUCAUAUUCUUCGAUCAGCGCUAGUCGUAAGUCUUGCAAGGUUUGUGGUUGUACAGGACGACGACGAACGGCCGUUUUAAGUUGAUCCCAAAGAUGUUCUAUUGGGUUGAGAUCCGGGCUACAUGCGGGCCAUUCCAAUCUUGGGAGUCCAACUUCAUCCAGAUAUUCGCUCACUACAUGUGCAACGUGAGGUCUAGCAUUAUCAUGCAUUAAUGUAAAUUGGUUCCCAAUGAAUGGAGCAAAUGGGACAACAUACCAAGGAUUUCCUCAAUGUAAUGGUGGGCGGUUAGAGCUCCAUUUUCAAUAAAUACAAGAUUGGUGCGUGCUUUGGUAGAAAUACCCGCCCAAAUCAUGACUGAACCGCCACGAUAUGAGAUUUGUUCUGAAAUGGUGCAGUCACCACAAAGAUAUGCUCUUUCAUUUCUACAUCUGUAUACCCGCUCACGACCAUCCGGCGUCCUUAAACAAACCCUGGAUUCAUCUGUGAAUAGUACGUUUGCCCACUGUUCUAGAGUCCACUCAAAAUGCGAUCUUGCAAACCUCAGUCGAUGUUGUCGAUGCCGAGGAAGUAAUUGUGGACAUCUUGCUGGCCUUCUACGUAUCGUUCUUUCACUUACAUUUACUCCAUGAAGUAAUCGCAAGUCAGUUUUUAGACACACAGCAGUAGAUCUUCGAUCUCUUAAAGAACUAAUGGUGACAAAGUGAUCAUCAGCUGCAGUGGUCAUUCUUCUUCUGCCAGAGCCUUGUCGUCUAGUAAAAAUUCCCGUCUAUAAAUACCUAUUCCAGGCAUCUCGAACUGUAGACCGCGGAAAUCUCAGAGUACGGGCGACAUAACUUUUGCUACGGCCAUCCCUCUAUUAACGCAACAAUUCUACUCACGUCUGCUGGAGUUAAUACCAUAUUGACACACAACAAAUUAUAAUAGUGACACUGUCAAACUUUAUGUCACAUUAAUUGCGUCCUUAGCCAACGUCGAUCAUUUUUAACCGAAAACUUGACAUUCAUUAUCUAAAAAUAAGCUUCAAAUCAGCGUUUUAAUAAAAAAUUUGCACCUCGCAGCAGAAAUGAGAUAAUGGAAUGAAUCAAAAAUCGAAAUGUUUAGAAUACAUCAAAGAUUACAAGGAACAGUAUGUAAACAGAAUUAUCCACCUUAAUUUUCCUACAGGGUCUUUUGAAAUUAUGAGAAAAACCAACAGUUUGUUUUACUCCUGUAUAAUAUAGCCUAAUCGAAAAAUGCUACUUUACAAAAUGAUUUAAAAAAAUCAUAACAAAUGUAUCUAAAAACUGAUGGCAAAAUAGUGAGAAUCUGAUUAAAAAUAAAAAAUUUAUAAAACAUCACACUUGGCCAAUAUUUCAGGGUGGCGGAAUUUUGUGCCGGCGAGUAUAUUACAAAUACUCCAAAAAAUCUUGCAUUUAUUUUACAAAAAAGGGCACAGUUGAUCAUGAAAUUAAAGAAAGCCAGUCAAUUAGUCUUCCACUUAACCCUAAAAGUAUUCCAAUACUCUUGAGCUUUUCACGGCUUUGGAUGAAAAAUGGAAAGAAAUUGAUAUAUCAUGUUUGUUGAUACAUAUCAACAAACUAUUAGAGAAGAUGCCAGGCCGUUAUUAAAAAUAACGGUUAUGCGACAAAGUAUUAAGUCUGUUAUUUUACAAAAACAUUUUUUUGCAGAAUUUCAGCUAAUUUCUUAAGUUUUUUACAUUUGUCUAAAUAUUUUUGUCCCUUAACAUUUAAUAAAUUUUUUUGUAGUGCUUGAUGUAUAUGAGUAAUUUGUAUUUUAUAACAGUUAGGUACUGAGGAAUUAUUAUUUUAUAUUUGGGUUUAAAUAAAGGUAUAUUGGGUGAAGCAUUGUGUUAUAAUUCUUUGGAUAUUCUUUAUCUAUAUACUUUUGUCCAUUACUGUAAUCUUUUGUAAAUCUCAAAAAAUAUCAGGUAGGUGUCGAAAGGUUAUUCAUCUUAAAAAGCUGUUGAAUGAAUAUUUUUAAUUCCUGUAUAUUAAUGAGGCCACAUAAUUUGAUAAUAUUUUAUAGAAAUAGCUAACCUUUGAAAGACAUCCAGUAUAUACCUAAGUCUGUUAACAAAACUCACAAUUUAAUAGCAAAAUCAUAUUUUGUGAUAUCAAUUGUAUGCAAAUAAAUCUAUUCUAUGUGUCAUUUGAAAAAUAAUUCAAUUCAGCAAUAUAUUUAUUUAUAUUUAUCAUUCUGGAAUUUUAUGGGUGCUGCUAUAACUUUUUUACAUUGUUUUACUUAAUCACCCAAGAAGAUCUAAAUAUAAUGGAGAAAAGUUGGCCUUAUAACACAUUAUAAAGGUUUGUAAGUGAUACCAGUUUAGUGAUGAAUAGUUUAUUAUAAAAAAUAGGGCAGUUUUAUGUAUUUUUAAGGAAUAAUCACAGUUCAGAAUUUUUUUGUUUUCAAAAUACAGUAGGCUCGCGUUAAUGUGAACUCAAAAAUUUCGACUUAGUUUGCAUUACUAAAAUGUUCACAUUAUGGAGAUUAUAUUAAAAAUAGCUAAAAUUAAAAUAAAAUGGAACUACAUUGUACUUUAUUUAUGUUUGUAUUUAUUUAUAAAUUUAUUUAUUACAGUUUUAAGCAUUAUACAAAAGUUUUAUUUAAAAAAAGAUGUAAUUUUUGUUUGCACUUUUUUUUGUGACAGGUUUAAGGCUACAGCCUUUUCUUCUAAACCUUUUAGUGUAAUAUGUCCUUUAUGUCGACAUAGUUUUGACUGGCCCAUUGUGUGACAAUUUUCAAGGCUGCAAGAGCCUCCAAAUGCGUAACUUUUUUUUCUUUAAAAUUUAAUAUCUGGCAGGCACUAUCUUCUAUAUCAUUGCUAUCGAGAUUUUCCUCCACUGCGUCUGUAUUUCAUUCCUCAAUGUCUUUGGGAUUAUAAUCAAUCUAAAAACAAUCAUAUCUCAAUGAAAUUCUAAAACUAUUACAGACUUUCUUCUUUUAAUUUCCAAAAAUCGAAAAUUAAAAGGAGUAACUAGCACUAAAUAAUACCUGUUUAAUUGUUUGAAGCAAUGUAAUGGUUUCAUUAACUGCAGCUGCUCUAACAUCAUUUUCCCACAUCUCUUUUAGUCGAGCUAAAGGUAGGUCAUCCCCCUCCAAAUUUUUUCCCAAAAUAUUAUUCCAACAUUUUAAAAUUAGUGAAGGCUCUAUUUUUUGCCAGGCCAUAUGCAAUUGCAUAAUAGCAUCUCUUAAAGUUAUAACUUUUAGGGCAUCAGCUACUCCUUGACCCUUUGAUACAAUUGAACUUAGUAGACAUUUUCUACAAAAUAGUUUGGUUAUUCGCAAAACAUUUUGGUCUAAUGGUUGAAUUAAUGGUGUAACAUUUGGGGGCAUGUAGACAACAAAAAUGUGUCCAUCAGAAGUUUUUAAUUCUUCUGCCGGUGGAUGCGGAGGGGCAUUGUCUAACAGGAGAACAGCUUUUAAAGGAAGGUUUUUGCUUUGUAAAAAUGAUUUAACCUAAAAACCCAAUUUAGUCUUAAAAAAAUUAAAAAGCAAACAAAACUUUCACUUACCAACCAAUUUUUAAAAAUUUCCUGCGUCAUCCAGGCAUUUUUAGUGCUUUUAUAGAUGACUCGAUUAUCAAAUCCUUUAAAACAUCUGGGUGAUUUUGCUUUUCCUAGUACUAAAGGCGUUAGUUUGUGUGAUACUGUAGCAUUUGUGCACCCCAAAAGAGUUAUUCUUUGUUUAGCUAUUUUUAGACCAGGCGCCCUUUUUUCAAAAAUUGCAACAUAGGUUUUAUCUGGCAAUAACUUCCAAUAUAAACCCGUCUCAUCUGCAUUAUAAAUUUGAUCUUCACUAAGAUUAGGCUGCUUCAUCUUUUUUCUUAAGCCUUGAGGCUGCGAGGACAACUUUUCACCUGCAAUUUUAAGCAGCCUUAUACCAUAUCGCCAUUUAAAUUUUUGAAGCCAUCCAUCGCUUGCAUUAAAUUUAUCGUUGAGUUUUAAUUUUCUAUGUAAAUCUAGAGCCUUUUCUUUAAGCAUAUCACCCGUAACUGGCAAAUUUCGUUCACGCUGUUUGGUAUUUAUACAGCAAAGUUUCCAUCUUGGGGUUUUCUGCACUUUUUAAAGUGCAUUUUUUUAUUUUAUUAGGUCUUAAACUCUCUCCAACAAUUUUUAGAAUUUUUUCUUUAUUUUUAAUUGCACAAAUAGUUGAUUUUGCUAUUUGAUAUAUCUUUGUUAGUGCAGUAACACUCAUACCAUUUUUGUGCUCUUCAAACAACGUUUAAAAUGCAUAAACCCAAUAUCCACUAACAAGCCUAGACAAGUCUACACAGGAUUACUAAAGAUUUCUUAAAAUUCACAUUAUCGAAAUAUGGGUUUGUUCACACUAUAGAAUUAACAUAGAAAAAUAUUGGUGUUCACAUUAAUGAGUUGUUCAUAAAAUCGUAAGUUCACGUUACCGCGAGUAUACUGUACAUUGAAAAUGUCAAAAUUGCCAAAAAUUUAUUUAAUAUUUUAAAAACCAUUAACUUAAAUGGAUUCAACGAAAACUUUUGUUCAAAAUACCAUUUUUGGAAACUAAAGAUGGUCUUCAUUUGGCCUUUUUCAUUUUAAAAUGUUUUAUGUGCUGCUAUUCUCAUCAGAAAUUUCUCAGUAAAAACUUGGAUUUUUUUCACAAAGAUAAGGUAUACUAAUUUUCAUAAGUAUAUGGAGAUAAUACAUGAGCAAACUAGUAACUUAUUGAGUUUAGGCAUUACAUAUUUAUUUGGUAGUUAUUUUCAGUACAACUUUAUUUUAGCUUUUGUUUAAAUGUUAUAUUAAUUAAUUGUUUAAUGGAUAUAUCAUGGAAUUAAACAUGUUGAGAGUUGACUGCUAAAUUGUGCUUAUUUCCUAAAUUAAAUAUAUACCUGGUGUACAUCAUCAACAUUUUCUUAAAAGAUUCAAUUGUUGUAUUAACCAUUUUUUAAAACCUAUAUUGCAGUGAAAAAAUACUAUACUUUUGCAGUAUGAAGGGUAUGUUUAUACUGUAAACAUUUGAAAAUAUCCUUUUUUUAAGUUGCACAUUACUUCAAAAACGCAUUUGAAAAAGUCAUUAUUGAUAUUUCCAAAACUAAAAAUAUCAUGGUAAAGCAAUGUGAGAAUUAUAAAAUUUUUCUGUAUAUUAUUUUUUACAGAAAAUGGUUUUCAUCAAAGUAAAUAGGUUUGUGGCAACUCUAUAACUCCACCAUAAAACCUGUUUUCUCUAUUUUAACUUGACUCUUUCCAUAAUCGAGUUAGCAAUAGUAAUAUGAAAUAAAUUGCAGGUAAUUGAUGUGUUAAAUAGGAAAAAGUUUUUUUACCAUCUGUUGUUAAAGUUAUAAAAUAAUACAAAACAGCGUUUUUACCUGACCAGGUAAAUACUUAACUUUUUCUCAUUUAUCCCAUAUAAGGUUUAUUCCAUGGUUACUUUGUUAGAGAUGUAAAUCAUCUUAUUCUGUGCAUGCUGUAAAAACCAACAAUAAAAUUUUCUUAACUGUCAUACUUAUUUCUCUCCUGUUGAUAAAAUUGUGUUUUUUUGGGGUUUGGCAUUUUUUCUUUUUCAGGUAUACAGAGAGCUUUAAAUUUCAUCUAUAUGGUGCUUUAAAGAAUUAUUGUGAUCGGGAUGCUUGAAGUUUUGCGACAACGUACUAUAUGUGUAGUUUGAACUCACUUGGACGGUAAGUCUAGUUACGGCUAGACGGCCCUCAACAACCAGGAUCUCUAGGAGAUGCACAUAUAAAUUUUUUUAUCAUGAAUAAAUAGACUUUUUUA